GGGUUGUGAGGUUAAGCGACUAAGCGUACACGGUGGAUGCCUUGGCAGUCAGAGGCGAUGAAGGACGUGCUAAUCUGCGAUAAGCGUCGGUAAGGUGAUAUGAACCGUUAUAACCGGCGAUUUCCGAAUGGGGAAACCCAGUGUGUUUCGUCACACUAUCAUUAACUGAAUCCAUAGGUUAAUGAGGCGAACCGGGGGAACUGAAACAUCUAAGUAUCCCGAGGAAAAGAAAUCAACCGAGAUUCCCUCAGUAGCGGCGAGCGAACGGGGAGCAGCCCAGAGCCUGAAUCAGUGUGUGUGUUAGUGGAAGCGUCUGGAAAGGCGCGCGAUACAGGGUGACAGCCCCGUACACAAAAAUGCACAUAUUGUGAGCUCGAUGAGUAGGGCGGGACACGUGGUAUCCUGUCUGAAUAUGGGGGGACCAUCCUCCAAGGCUAAAUACUCCUGACUGACCGAUAGUGAACCAGUACCGUGAGGGAAAGGCGAAAAGAACCCCGGCGAGGGGAGUGAAAAAGAACCUGAAACCGUGUACGUACAAGCAGUGGGAGCACGCUUAGGCGUGUGACUGCGUACCUUUUGUAUAAUGGGUCAGCGACUUAUAUUCUGUAGCAAGGUUAACCGAAUAGGGGAGCCGAAGGGAAACCGAGUCUUAACUGGGCGUUAAGUUGCAGGGUAUAGACCCGAAACCCGGUGAUCUAGCCAUGGGCAGGUUGAAGGUUGGGUAACACUAACUGGAGGACCGAACCGACUAAUGUUGAAAAAUUAGCGGAUGACUUGUGGCUGGGGGUGAAAGGCCAAUCAAACCGGGAGAUAGCUGGUUCUCCCCGAAAGCUAUUUAGGUAGCGCCUCGUGAAUUCAUCUCCGGGGGUAGAGCACUGUUUCGGCAAGGGGGUCAUCCCGACUUACCAACCCGAUGCAAACUGCGAAUACCGGAGAAUGUUAUCACGGGAGACACACGGCGGGUGCUAACGUCCGUCGUGAAGAGGGAAACAACCCAGACCGCCAGCUAAGGUCCCAAAGUCAUGGUUAAGUGGGAAACGAUGUGGGAAGGCCCAGACAGCCAGGAUGUUGGCUUAGAAGCAGCCAUCAUUUAAAGAAAGCGUAAUAGCUCACUGGUCGAGUCGGCCUGCGCGGAAGAUGUAACGGGGCUAAACCAUGCACCGAAGCUGCGGCAGCGACGCUGAUGCGUUGUUGGGUAGGGGAGCGUUCUGUAAGCCUGUGAAGGUGUGCUGUGAGGCAUGCUGGAGGUAUCAGAAGUGCGAAUGCUGACAUAAGUAACGAUAAAGCGGGUGAAAAGCCCGCUCGCCGGAAGACCAAGGGUUCCUGUCCAACGUUAAUCGGGGCAGGGUGAGUCGACCCCUAAGGCGAGGCCGAAAGGCGUAGUCGAUGGGAAACAGGUUAAUAUUCCUGUACUUGGUGUUACUGCGAAGGGGGGACGGAGAAGGCUAUGUUGGCCGGGCGACGGUUGUCCCGGUUUAAGCGUGUAGGCUGGUUUUCCAGGCAAAUCCGGAAAAUCAAGGCUGAGGCGUGAUGACGAGGCACUACGGUGCUGAAGCAACAAAUGCCCUGCUUCCAGGAAAAGCCUCUAAGCAUCAGGUAACAUCAAAUCGUACCCCAAACCGACACAGGUGGUCAGGUAGAGAAUACCAAGGCGCUUGAGAGAACUCGGGUGAAGGAACUAGGCAAAAUGGUGCCGUAACUUCGGGAGAAGGCACGCUGAUAUGUAGGUGAAGUCCCUCGCGGAUGGAGCUGAAAUCAGUCGAAGAUACCAGCUGGCUGCAACUGUUUAUUAAAAACACAGCACUGUGCAAACACGAAAGUGGACGUAUACGGUGUGACGCCUGCCCGGUGCCGGAAGGUUAAUUGAUGGGGUCAGCGCAAGCGAAGCUCUUGAUCGAAGCCCCGGUAAACGGCGGCCGUAACUAUAACGGUCCUAAGGUAGCGAAAUUCCUUGUCGGGUAAGUUCCGACCUGCACGAAUGGCGUAAUGAUGGCCAGGCUGUCUCCACCCGAGACUCAGUGAAAUUGAACUCGCUGUGAAGAUGCAGUGUACCCGCGGCAAGACGGAAAGACCCCGUGAACCUUUACUAUAGCUUGACACUGAACAUUGAGCCUUGAUGUGUAGGAUAGGUGGGAGGCUUGGAAGUGUGGACGCCAGUCUGCAUGGAGCCGACCUUGAAAUACCACCCUUUAAUGUUUGAUGUUCUAACGUGGACCCGUGAUCCGGGUUGCGGACAGUGUCUGGUGGGUAGUUUGACUGGGGCGGUCUCCUCCUAAAGAGUAACGGAGGAGCACGAAGGUUGGCUAAUCCUGGUCGGACAUCAGGAGGUUAGUGCAAUGGCAUAAGCCAGCUUGACUGCGAGCGUGACGGCGCGAGCAGGUGCGAAAGCAGGUCAUAGUGAUCCGGUGGUUCUGAAUGGAAGGGCCAUCGCUCAACGGAUAAAAGGUACUCCGGGGAUAACAGGCUGAUACCGCCCAAGAGUUCAUAUCGACGGCGGUGUUUGGCACCUCGAUGUCGGCUCAUCACAUCCUGGGGCUGAAGUAGGUCCCAAGGGUAUGGCUGUUCGCCAUUUAAAGUGGUACGCGAGCUGGGUUUAGAACGUCGUGAGACAGUUCGGUCCCUAUCUGCCGUGGGCGCUGGAGAACUGAGGGGGGCUGCUCCUAGUACGAGAGGACCGGAGUGGACGCAUCACUGGUGUUCGGGUUGUCAUGCCAAUGGCACUGCCCGGUAGCUAAAUGCGGAAGAGAUAAGUGCUGAAAGCAUCUAAGCACGAAACUUGCCCCGAGAUGAGUUCUCCCUGACUCCUUGAGAGUCCUGAAGGAACGUUGAAGACGACGACGUUGAUAGGCCGGGUGUGUAAGCGCAGCGAUGCGUUGAGCUAACCGGUACUAAUGAACCGUGAGGCUUAACCUUACAACGCCGAAG
This 2925-nucleotide ribosomal RNA is filed under the name Escherichia coli. Its description in RNAcentral is "23S ribosomal RNA". It matches the Rfam family "Bacterial large subunit ribosomal RNA". The record is from RNAcentral. Lineage: Bacteria; Pseudomonadati; Pseudomonadota; Gammaproteobacteria; Enterobacterales; Enterobacteriaceae.